RNAcentral lists this ribosomal RNA (427 nucleotides) under uncultured bacterium. RNAcentral's name for it is "partial 16S ribosomal RNA". It matches the Rfam family "Bacterial small subunit ribosomal RNA", at positions 355 to 774 of the family's 1533-position model. The record is from RNAcentral.
UGGGGAAUAUUGGACAAUGGGCGAAAGCCUGAUCCAGCCAUGCCGCGUGUGUGAAGAAGGUCUUCGGAUUGUAAAGCACUUUAAGUUGGGAGGAAGGGCAUUAACCUAAUACGUUAGUGUUUUGACGUUACCGACAGAAUAAGCACCGGCUAACUCUGUGCCAGCAGCCGCGGUAAUACAGAGGGUGCAAGCGUUAAUCGGAAUUACUGGGCGUAAAGCGCGCGUAGGUGGGUUGUUAAGUUGGAUGUGAAAUCCCCGGGCUCAACCUGGGAACUGCAUUCAAAACUGACUGACUAGAGUAUGGUAGAGGGUGGUGGAAUUGCCUGUGUAGCGGUGAAAUGCGUAGAUAUAGGAAGGAACACCAGUGGCGAAGGCGACCACCUGGACUAAUACUGACACUGAGGUGCGAAAGCGUGGGGAGCAAACA